This 497-nucleotide ribosomal RNA is filed under the name uncultured bacterium. Its description in RNAcentral is "partial 16S ribosomal RNA". It matches the Rfam family "Bacterial small subunit ribosomal RNA", at positions 28 to 507 of the family's 1533-position model. The record is from RNAcentral.
GACGAACGCUGGCGGCGUGCCUAAUACAUGCAAGUUGAGCGCUGAAGGUUGGUACUUGUACCAACUGGAUGAGCAGCGAACGGGUGAGUAACGCGUGGGGAAUCUGCCUUUGAGCGGGGGACAACAUUUGGAAACGAAUGCUAAUACCGCAUAAAAACUUUAAACACAAGUUUUAAGUUUGAAAGAUGCAAUUGCAUCACUCAAAGAUGAUCCCGCGUUGUAUUAGCUAGUUGGUGAGGUAAAGGCUCACCAAGGCGAUGAUACAUAGCCGACCUGAGAGGGUGAUCGGCCACAUUGGGAGUGAGACACGGCCCAAACUGCUACGGGAGGCAGCAGUAGGGAAUCUUCGGCAAGGGACGAAAGUCUGACCGAGCAACGCCGCGUGAGUGAAGAAGGGUGUCGGAUCGGAAAACUCGGUUGGUAGAGAAGAACGUUGGUGAGAGUGGAAAGCUCAUCAAGUGACGGUAACUACCCAGAAAGGGACGGCUAACUACGUG